Molecule: unclassified non-coding RNA, 2060 nt
Filed under: Hevea brasiliensis (rubber tree)
Lineage: Eukaryota; Viridiplantae; Streptophyta; Magnoliopsida; Malpighiales; Euphorbiaceae
Source: RNAcentral
UUGCAGAAAAAAUUAAUUAUUUUUAAAUUUAUAUUUAGUACAAUCACUUGAUUUUUUUUAAUUAAAAAUAAUAAACUUUUUUUUUAUUGUGAUGUCAUAAUUGAAGUGUGCCUCAGCAAUGUAAAAUAAGCACCAAAUCAAGUAUGUGCACAUAUAUAAGUAUAUUGAAAUGUGCUUAAUAAACAUAUUAGACUUAAGGAUUUUUCUUGCCUGUACCUAGUUUGCCAUAGAUUUUCCUACACUUAAUUAGGAUUGAAGUGGCUUAAGGCGAAGGGGAAAUCCAUGUGAUGGUGCCAACAUGGGAUCAUAUCCAAAACUCUCUUGAGGCAUUAGCACUUCCCAUUUGAAUCUUCUAAUGAUGUUAUGAAGGAAAACAAGCAUUUCUAGGCGAGCAAACUCAUACCCUAUACACAUCCUUGGUCCCCCUCCAAAGGUAACAAUUGAAUAAGGAGCAGCUCCUGAUCCUCCUUCAAAUCUUGAAGCAUCAAAAUUUUCUGGAUUUGGAAAAAGAGCUGGAUCUUUGUGUGUUGAACCAAUGCUCACAUGCAACUUCCAUCCUUUUGGGAUUGUAUAUCCUUCAUAUGUGAAAUCUGCUAUAGACUGUCUAUAAGAACCAGUUACAGGUGGAGAGAGUCUCAAAACUUCAGAGAUCACACUCCAUGAGUAACUCAUUUUCUGUACAUCUUCCCAAUGCAAAAACUCCCCUUGCUCUUUGGACUUUGCAAUAUCAAGAUGUUCUUGUAGAACUUUUGCAUACACUUGAGGCAUUUCUGCAAGAUACUUCAUGAGUAAUGUUAAGGCAGAUCUGGAAGUAUCAUGACCAGCAAAAAGCAAAAGCAGGAUAUUAUCAAUUAUCUCAAUCUCAGAUAGGAACUUUCCACUUGUAUCUGCGUUCACAAGCAAAUAUGAAAGAAGAUCUUGUGUGGGUGACACAUUAUUCUUCUCCAGUGCUUCUCUUCUUUGUCUAACAAUCGCCUUGAGCUCUUCUCUAAUUGCAUUAGCAGCCGUCAUCGAAUUGUAAAAUCUUGUGCCAGGUAUGCUGAUUGGAAAACCAAAUUACCCUUUGACAAACACAAUAAACUGAGCUCCGAGCCUGGAUAUGCAUGCAGGGUCAUUGAUGCUUGCAAAUGACUGACAAGCUAACUCAAAUGUGUAUAGAUGAUGAGUUUCAUAUACUUUCACCUCCUUUUUCCCUUCCCAAUGGAUGGCAAUGUGUUGUAGUGUGACCAAAUCAAUCUUCUGCGUAUACCCCUUAAGUGCAUUUGGAGUCAGGAAUGUCGAGAGCAUCUUCCUCAUCCUCUUGGCCUCAUCGCCAACUGCAUUAACCAAAGCUGAGUUGAAGAGCUUCCUCACUGAUUUUGGCCACCAAAGAUUCACCAAAUUGUUCUCAUUGCUAAACAAGAACUUUUGCCCUGCAGUUCCACAGAAGACUAUGACAGGCUCUCCUAUCAGGGAUGUCUUGAAAACUUUUGAAUCAUAUUUUUCCAUUCUCUCUCUGAUGAACUUCUCUGGUUUUCCUUCAAGCCCUGCUUUGAAGAAUGCUUGACUUUCUCCAAUCAGAGGCCAUCCUAGGCUUCCAGGAGGAAGAUGAGGGCUAGGAAACAAUCUUGUUUUGAUUGUUUUGAUGAUUAUACGAAUUGAACGAAGAAAAAUGAUAACAAUUAGAACUAAAACUGAAAGCAUAACAAAACCCAUUGACAAGUAAUGUAUAAAGUAAUGUAUAUGUUGUAGAAUGAAGGUUUAUACUCUUGAAGUUGCAUCUAUAUUCCCAUGGUAGCUAUUGCCUUUUCUUGUCAAGUAAGGCGUAAGAAGAAGACCAAGGCAUGCCAAGGAAAAUGUGAAUGGAUGGAUAUGUUGCUAGGAGUGAGCACCAUUCAGUUUGAAUCAAAUAAAUCGAACUGAACCUUCUUAAUUUGAUAAUUCAGUUCGGUUUUUAAGGUAAUUUGAUUUGGUUUGGUUUGGUUUUGCAUUUUAAAAAUUUCAGUUAUUUUAGUUCGAUUUGGUUUUAGAGAUAAAAAUUGAUUAAACAAAACUGAAUCAAAUUGUUUUAUUGAUUUUUG